This 90-nucleotide transfer RNA is filed under the name Candidatus Berkelbacteria bacterium CG10_big_fil_rev_8_21_14_0_10_43_13. Its description in RNAcentral is "tRNA-Ser". It matches the Rfam family "tRNA". From Rfam's summary of the family: Transfer RNA (tRNA) molecules are approximately 80 nucleotides in length. Lineage: Bacteria; Candidatus Berkelbacteria. The record is from RNAcentral.
GGAGAGAUGGCUGAGUGGCCGAAAGCGCCUCACUGCUAACGAGGUAAGGGAGCAAUCCUUUCGUGGGUUCGAAUCCCACUCUCUCCGCCA